Molecule: long non-coding RNA, 1361 nt
Filed under: Olea europaea subsp. europaea
Lineage: Eukaryota; Viridiplantae; Streptophyta; Magnoliopsida; Lamiales; Oleaceae
Source: RNAcentral
AUCACAACGCAAUAAUUAACAUAAAAACAUAGGUCUUGAAUUCAAACUAAAAAUUAAACAAUUUUGUCAUCAUCCAAUACGUGAAGAGGAAUUAGCCAAAUAUGAUGCGAGAAUUAAAUAAAUAAAAGUGGAACGACAUCACCGAAAUUUGACGAAACGUGAUUAAUAUCCAAAUUAAAGUUGUCGUCUUUUUCCCAAUGAUUGGCCGUGAGUUGUCUUCUGCCAUCCACUUUUUAGUUCCAAAAGGUUUUAGUUUCAGCCCCCUAGCAGUUUUGUAUAUGUUUAAUUCCUCAAUUCUCCGAGCGUAAUUCGGUCAGUGUCUCCUCUAUUUUUCUCCAAUCUGCUGCCUUUUGUUGUGUGUAUGUAUAUACAUAUAUUAAUAACAGCAGCCUCCAGCAGUCAGCCCUUUCUUUUCAAAUCUCAGUCGGCUAUAUGUAUAUAAUUAAGCACCCGGCAGUUCCUUCUCUUCUCCGCUUCUUGUGUUAAUAUAUGCAAUUUAUUCCCAGCCUCCACUAAUCUACCGAUUUCUGUUGUAUCUAAUAUCUCCAAUUCAGUCUCCUCUAUGCCGGUUUACGUGUAUAUAUAGUUCCGCAGUAGGCAGAAUUCUUCCCCCUAUUUGUGUUCGUGGCCGACAAUGUUUAUUCUCUCUAUUCUAAUUUCCACCAGCAGCUUAUGUAUGUAUAUAUUAUAUAAUUCAGCAGCUGAAGCCUAACCCCAGCCGGUAGCCCCCAAUCUUUGAUUCCCCCAAAGAAUUCUUUCCAACCGCCAAUCUAUAUUAUUUCCCAGGCUGCUCCCCUUUUCUUCUUUUUUUCUACCAGAAUGUCAAUAUAUUUAUCUCAAAUCAGCCGCAUGAAGCCCUUUUUUUCUAGUCCAAUUUGGAGUCCAACAUAGUAUUAAAUUUGAAUUCCAAGGCCAGUCCAAUUGAAGGCCAUUUAAUCAAUUAUUUUUUUCCCAGUACUAAAUUUUCGAAGCAAUGCAAAUCAGUCCACUUUUUAUAGUUAGACUUUGAUUCCCAAAAAUUGUAUCCAAUGGCCAAUUUAAUCCACGUACUUAGGAUUUUGCUAUUUCCGCCCGUUUUUGCUUCUGUCCUUUCAUUUCUUUUUAUUCGUAGAAGUCCACCUAUUAAAUAUAAAAACAACAAUUUAGGAAUAUAUUUCACCAAAAGACUAUUAAAUAUCGCUAUUUUAGAGUCACGAAUAAGUAUAUAAAAUAUACUUAUCAUAUAAUAAACAAUAUUAAUCUCUUAGUUUUGAAAUAUGGAACCUUAUUUCUUAGAAAUGAAAUGGCAGGUUGUUAAAUAUAAGAGAUUAGUUAUGAUCCAUUUCAAAACUGAGAAACCAGGUCUAAAAUUUCAAAGAUUA